Molecule: long non-coding RNA, 530 nt
Organism: Gavialis gangeticus (Gharial)
Lineage: Eukaryota; Metazoa; Chordata; Crocodylia; Gavialidae
Exons: 2
Source: RefSeq, a predicted model, not a curated record
GAAUUGGUCAGGCAGGAGCUGAAUGUCAAGUAGUCAAAGAUGGAGGCUGGAGCGGGGAGGCCAUGAGACUAAUGGACGUCCAGUCACCUGCUGCAGGAAGCAUAAUCCAGCUUCAUAACCUUAAGGAUAAGACCCUAUCAAUAUUGCCUCUGCUUUUGUGAUCAGGGUAGUAGUGCAAUAUUGCUUAUAGGGUCUUUUCUUUGGAGGGUAUUCUUCAUGGAGAGAAGAAAAGCAGCAGCAGAACAGCCAUGCUGGUCACCUUAGGACAAAAGUUGUGCAAUUACAAACAGUGCUAGACAGGCAAAUCAAUUUGUGCAAAUGUGUUAUUGUGAACAUCCGUGUUCAUGUGACAAAGAACUGUGCACUGAUGCUCUUCCGAAUAUCCAUGCUGCCCUGACAAGUAACUGUGUGCAUAGAUGCUCUUGUGAUGACUCAAGUUGUAAAGGGGUGUAUUUUUGAUGUUAUGAUGCAGGAUGCAAAACAGCCUUGUAUUAAAAAAGCACAAACAGUUGUACUUGCUUGAAACUGGA